GCCGAACCGUCGCUUCUCCCGUUAAAAAGAAAGGUGCAUUUCUUUCGCGCCUAGGGUGCUUGUAAAACGCGGGCCGCCUACCGGUCCCGAUCCGCCCUAUGCGCCGUCGGGGGUCGCUUAGCCGCUGACUUUUCCCACGCGUGGGACCGUUUGGUGGCAACUCUCUCUUCUAACGAGCGCGAUGUUCGCGCCGGACGAAGUGGGAAGGGGUGCCGCUGUUGCGCGGGGAACAAAAAACCCCACCCUCCCCCGAAGUUCCCGGAGCCCUUGAUCUCUGGACCUCGGAACACUUGCACCGGAGGUUAGUAGAGGCUGGGAGCCGGUGCCUUACUCUCUCGCUGCGUCCCCUCUCCUUCGGAUCCAGCGCCGGUUCCCCUCGCUCCCGGUUUCCUUUCAAAUCUUCGUCGAAUCUGACCCCUCGCUAUUAUAGAGAAAUAUGUAGAGUCUUACAUAUACAACCCAUAUGUGGGCAGUUUUCAGGAAAGAGAUAGGGUGGGUCAGAUCGGCGCAAAUCAUGUCACCCAAUUGGUUGCUUGGCACGCCCAGGACUCCUCUUAUUGGCCACGGGCCCUGAAGAUUGAUUUUCUUUUUUUGAAGAACGGUCUUGGAUAUCAGAGGGAGGAUUUUGCAGACGAGCUCGCCAAGUACCAGACGUUAACCCCCAACACGCCGGACGCACGAGGGAGGGAGUCAAUGAAGGAGAAACGGGCAGCUUCGCUGAUUCCCUUGGUGAUGAUGCCGUCAUCUGCCUGCUUAAGGACUGGCUGGCAUUUCAGAAAGUGCUGGUCAGGUAGGAGAAAUACUGCUAAGGCAAGGCAGUGCUAUCUAGAGUGAAAAUGUCCCAAAAGAAAGACAGCAACUGCAUAAGGCCCAUAUUUGGAAAUCCAAGUGUUCUUCCAGAGGCUGGCAGGCAGCACAGAUAUGCAAUUCACAGUGAGGUGCAAAGGAGAGAGCCUUGACUUUUAACCCAUAUCUCCUCACUCUCCUUCCCUCCAGCUGUUGUAGAGCCUGGAGCCCUUGGAGAAUUGCUAAGCCUGCCCAUCCAGAAAGUGCCAGGUUUGGAUGACUUUGCCCCAAGAUAAUGCUUGGCUAUUUGCAUUACAGUUCUGAUUAUUACAACUCAAGCAAAUUUCUGAUUUCACUCCAGGAUAUGCUUUGUGGACACCAGUGCCUUGUUUUGACAGCGUUGCUGCUCACUUUGAGUUAGGAAAGUUAACAGUAUUUAUGGGAAUACACUGUUGAGCCACAUUUUGGCUUUUGAAGACAGAAAAUAAUAUUUACUAAUGCCUGAAAUAACAUUUACAAAUUCAAUUGUUCUGUUGAUGAUGACAUCAACUUGAUCUUAUUUUAGUCCCCCCACUCCCCAGUUAAAUGCUUUUCAAGGGAAGCACUGAGACAUAAUCAACUUAUCCAGUGUCAGAAGACUUGAAACCUUACUGAGACUCAGUGGCCAAUGCCUGGAAGUUCAAAGACAUAAAGCUGGCAAGCACCCAGCACUUGUCCUCAGGAAAAUUUUCUUUAAGAGACACAAAUCUACACAGAAACAUCUUUUCUGCUGGUUUGUGUGUAAUGUCUGGGUAUAGCCUUGAAAGCCUGUGUGUGAAAGGAUUCAGUCUGCAGUCUGUGAUCAUGUCUGGCUGGUAUAGCAUCAAAUUGGGAAUCAAAUUGUUUGGAUCAUGACUGGUGGAUUCUUUUGUGCCUGGACUCUUGGGCAGUGUCGUUUGUGCCUGGUAAUCUACUACGCUCUGUUCUCCUGCAAUUGCUGAUCUCAGAUUUGUCCCCUGAUGUUGCAUUUACUUCUUUUCAUUUCAUUAUCACUGGGAAACAACUUAGGGACUGUUUUUGGGGGAAGGGUUAUCUCUCUUUGCUGAGCUGCUGGAACUCUACGACAUAACCUUCAGGGUCUCACAUAUCUACAGGCACAGUAUGCAACUGAAAACCAGGAACAUGCACGGUUUUCUACUGUAGCAGUAAAGAAGAGCAAUGGAUUUGUGACAUUAUUAUACUGCCAAUAAUAAAAUUCACAAUAAGCUUUGAUUAGAUGAGAACUACAGAGAAACCCCAUCUGUGAAUCAUUCACAACUAAGUAAGAAACAGCUCCUCAAUGCUGUUUUUUCAGUUCUUCCUAUUUUGUGAAUGGGCUUCAACUCCAAAAAUUCCCCAGCCAGUUGGCUGAGGAAUUCUGGGAGUUGAAGUCCAUGCAUCUUAAAGUUACCAUGGUUGAAAAACACUGGUUUAUAUUCAUGUGGGAGCUGUUUUGUGGGGUACCUAUGACAUUUUCUAAACUUUGGAAGUGUGUUCAGGAAGAUUUGAGGUCCCUAGUUUGUUCCUGCUGUUUGUGACAAUAUUAUACUUUAUGGUAAUUAUUAUAUAUUCUUACUCUUUUAAUGUUUGUUGAGGCACUACCAUCAUGUGGAAGAGUGAUGAACUGUUAUGAAAAGUAACCAGAUUAUUUUUCAAAUUCACAAAUAAAGGCAUAUUUAUCAAAUUCCUCUGAUUCCAAAUUGAAAAUGGUUUUGAAGGGGCCAAUGGGAUUUACUCUUUUCCUAAGGUUCAUAAAAAGAGGAACCUGUGGCCACGGUCUUUACUCACGUUUGGACAGCCAAAACAACUGACUGAUCCUUGGCCAGCUGUAUUGUGAUAUAAAGCUGAAAGUUUUGCAUGUCUAAAACAUUUUAAAAAUAAAAUUCUAUCACAAAUAUGGCAAAAAUGAUAUUAGCCUGUUACAGCCAAGACAGCAACAGUCUCUUGGCUUAUAAAAAAGAAAUCAGGUUCAUUAUAUGAGAAAUUUAGAACAUAGAACAUAGAAUAACAGAGUUAGAAGGGACCUCAGAGGUCUUCUACUCCAACCCUCUGCUCAAACAGGAGACCCUAUACCAUUUUGGACAAAUGUGUUUCCAAUCUCUUUUUGAAAAGCGAUGGGACAGCGAUGAAGCACCCACAACUUCUGGAAGGAAAGCCAUUCCACUAAUUAGUUGUGUUCAUUGUCAGGAAAUUUCUCCUUAAUUCUAGGUUGGAUCUCACUUUAUGUUAUGCUGUUAUGCUCCUGGGGGUGGAAAGCAGGUUAGUGAAGGGAUGUGGCUGCCUUGGGGUGGUUAUGAGGGACGUGUGUGUGUGUGUGUGUGUGUGUGUGUGUGUGUGUGUGUGUGUCCCUCCCCCCCUCUUUUGGUCUCCUGAGGCCUCCACGUGUCCCAUUUUUGGCCUCCAGCACCACUCUGUCACCCAAAAAUGGGCCUAUUUUUGGCUUCCUGAGGCCUCCGCGCGUCCUGUUUUUGGCCUCCAGAAGGCAAGAUGGGGGCCAGCGGGUAGGCAGGGUGAUGUGGGUGGGGCAGCCUGGUGGUCCUGUGUGGGCUAGAUUAAUGGCUUCAGCAGACUGUAUCCGACCCGUGGGCUGUAGCUUGAGUACCCCGAUGUAGAUUAUUUACAGUAAUUAUUAUUUUCUGC
Pantherophis guttatus is the source of this 3444-nucleotide long non-coding RNA. RefSeq lists it as uncharacterized. The record is from RefSeq and is a predicted model, not a curated record. Lineage: Eukaryota; Metazoa; Chordata; Lepidosauria; Squamata; Colubridae.